Molecule: ribosomal RNA, 470 nt
Filed under: uncultured soil bacterium
Lineage: Bacteria
Description: bacterial SSU rRNA
Rfam family: Bacterial small subunit ribosomal RNA
Source: RNAcentral
AGGACGAACGCUGGCGGCGUGCUUAACACAUGCAAGUCGAGCGGUAAGGCCUUUCGGGGUACACGAGCGGCGAACGGGUGAGUAACACGUGGGUGAUCUGCCCUGCACUUCGGGAUAAGCCUGGGAAACUGGGUCUAAUACCGGAUAUGACCUCCUAUCGCAUGGUGGGUGGUGGAAAGAUUUAUCGGUGCAGGAUGGGCCCGCGGCCUAUCAGCUUGGUUGGUGGGUAAUGGCCUACCAAGGCGACGACGGGUAGCCGACCUGAGAGGGUGACCGGCCACACUGGGACUGGAGACACGGCCCAGACUCCGUACGGGAGGCAGCGGUGGGGAAUAUUGCACAAGUGGGCGAAAGCCUGAUGCAGCGACGCCGCGUGAGGGAUGACGGCCUUCGGGUUGUAAACCUCUUUCGAGCGAGGACGAGCGACGAAGUGACGGUACCUGACGAAGAAGAAGCACCGCUAACUACGU